RNAcentral lists this RNase P RNA (374 nucleotides) under Actinomycetota bacterium. Its description in RNAcentral is "RNase P RNA component class A". It matches the Rfam family "Bacterial RNase P class A". Rfam says of the family: Ribonuclease P (RNase P) is a ubiquitous endoribonuclease, found in archaea, bacteria and eukarya as well as chloroplasts and mitochondria. Its best characterised activity is the generation of mature 5'-ends of tRNAs by cleaving the 5'-leader elements of precursor-tRNAs. Cellular RNase Ps are ribonucleoproteins. Lineage: Bacteria; Bacillati; Actinomycetota. The record is from RNAcentral.
GGAGCCGGCCGGGUGGUCGCGGCCUCGGGCGCCAGCCCGGGGUCGAGGAAAGUCCGGACUCCGCAGGGCAGGACGCUGGGGAAAGUCCCAGGCGGGGUGACCCGUGGAAAGUGCAACAGAAAGCAGACCGCCCGGUGCUUCGGCGCCGGGCAAGGGUGAAACGGUGAGGUAAGAGCUCACCAGCGUGCCGGGCGAUCGGCGCGGCUAGGUAAACCCCGUCCGGAGCAAGGUCGAAUAGGAGGCAUGGGCGGCCCGUCCGAAACGCCUCCGGGUAGACCGCAUGAGGCGCACGGCAACGUGCGUCCCAGAUGGAUGACCACCGGCGCCGCCCCCGGGCGGCGUUACAGGAUCCGGCUUACAGGCCGGCUCCAGAA